Molecule: ribosomal RNA, 375 nt
Filed under: uncultured eukaryote
Lineage: Eukaryota
Description: partial 18S ribosomal RNA
Rfam family: Eukaryotic small subunit ribosomal RNA
Source: RNAcentral
CAAUAGCGCAUAUUUAAGUUGCUGCAGUUAAAAAGUUCGUAGUUGGAUUUCGGUUAAGAGCGACCGGUCCGCCGUUUGGUGUGCACUGGUUGGUUUUAACUUCCUGUAGAGGACGUGCUCUGGGUUUAACGACCUGGACUCGGAGUCUACGUGGUUACUUUGAAAAAAUUAGAGUGUUCAAAGCGGGCUUACGCUUGAAUAUUUCAGCAUGGAAUAACACUAUAGGACUCCUGUCCUAUUUCGUUGGUCUCGGGACGGGAGUAAUGAUUAAGAGGAACAGUUGGGGGCAUUCGUAUUUCAUUGUCAGAGGUGAAAUUCUUGGAUUUAUGAAAGACGAACUUCUGCGAAAGCAUUUGCCAAGGAUGUUUUCAUUAA